This 214-nucleotide unclassified non-coding RNA is filed under the name Holwaya sp. RNAcentral describes it as "partial contains 5.8S ribosomal RNA, internal transcribed spacer 2, and large subunit ribosomal RNA". The record is from RNAcentral. RNAcentral also lists the same sequence under 1 other name. Lineage: Eukaryota; Fungi; Ascomycota; Leotiomycetes; Thelebolales; Holwayaceae.
AACGCACAUUGCGCCUCUAGUAACUUGGAGGCAUGCCUGUCUGAGCGUCAUUUAAAACCAUAAACCUGAAUGGGUUUGUAUUGGGCAUCGCCGUACGGCGUAGCCUCAAAGACAUUGGUCUUGAACGCGGACGAGCUCCUUUAGGACAGACCGUGUGAGGACUUUAAACAUCUGACUUGACCUCAGAUCAGGUAGGGCUACCGCCUGAACUUAA